This 84-nucleotide microRNA precursor is filed under the name Chlorocebus sabaeus (green monkey). RNAcentral's name for it is "miRNA (ENSCSAG00000023068.1)". The record is from RNAcentral. Lineage: Eukaryota; Metazoa; Chordata; Mammalia; Primates; Cercopithecidae.
ACAAUGAUGACUUGCAUAUUAUAGAUUUGUGAUUAAAUUAAAACUUCAAAUUUCACAAAUCUAUAAUAUGCAAGUCAUCAUUGU